CAGAGUGAGACUCCACCUCAAAAAAAAGAAAAAAGGAAAACCAAGCAAAAGUCACUGUCAGGGGACCUCCCACCCACCAUACAGGGGAACACUCGGCAGAGCCAGAGGCCUGGGCCCAAGUCCUGCCACCAGCUGGCUGUGAAACUGUGGUACAGCACCUUGUGUCCUGCCACCAGCCGGCUGUGAAACUGGUACAGCACCUUGUCCUCAGGUCCUUGGUUUCCUCACUUGUAAAUUCAUGGUUCUCCAUGGCAUCUCUGGUCUUCAACAUUAUUUUGCAUAGAGUCUCAGAAGCUUUAGUGUGAGCGGAUGAUAUGGGCACGAAGCAAGGCACCCAGAAGUGGGGGCAACUACUCUGCUUUCUAAAAUGCAAGGGAACCGGAAAAUCCAGGAGCCGUGCCAAAUGAGAAGAGGAACAAAUGGAGGAACAUCCCAGUCAAGUGACAUUCCUAGUGACAUUCACCAGAACAGAGUCAAGCUUUGGAUCCCAUGUUCUGUGACUUCCUCUUCACCACGCUUCCUCCACACACGUAGCAGCUCAAGGGUUUCUGAUGAGUGGGAGGCUUGACUAGAAUUGAAUUCGAGACAAGCACAAAGAUCAUGAUGCAAAUGAAAGGGACAGAGGGGAGAGAAACAGAAAACAAGUCUAUGUUCCCUUUAUGAGCUGUAACGCACACCAUGAAGGUCUGCGGCUUGGCUAUUGAGUCAGUGAGAGCGUGAACCUACUAUUAGAAGAAAAACUCUGAAUACGUCUGAACGUCAGAAAGAACGAAGUUUGGACACAUUGUCUUUAAGAACUGUAACACUCACCCCAAGGGUUUAUGGAUUCAUUCUUGAAAUCAGUGAAACCAAAAGCUUUCCAAAGUUUAACACACAGGGAAAUGACUUACUGCAAAGAACCACUCUUCCCCACGAGACUUCGAGAAGACCCGCUGUCACGGACUGAGUUGUGUCCUCUUAAAAUUCAGAUGUUGGAGUCCAAACCCCCAGUAACUCAGAGUGUGAACGUAUUUGAAGAGGUCUUUAAAGAGGUGAUGAAGGUCUUUGUCUCUGACAAUUUGCCUCUGUGACGUGGAUGGGACUGGAAGUCCAUUUGGAGCCCUGUCUUCUCCACCUAGGGAGAGAGACCCCAUGAGCUCGUCAAGCUCCUUCUGUGACUGAUCAGAGAUCCCACCGUGAGUCCAGCUCCUGGUCCCAUGCUCUGGAUAUAUCGGUCCCUGGCAGCGUGAGUGCCUCUGUGUUCACUGUCCCAUUUGAGAAUUCUAAGUAGAAUUCUGAACAGGCUGGAGCAGAUUGCCCACCCCAAGGGACAGAUGUUGGCUGGUACUGUUGGUAUUCAUGGAAGAUUCCUUCUGACACUCCCUCCUUCUUUGUAAUUGCCAUGAACUGGAGCACUGGGCCAAUAUAAAUCAUCCAAGGGUGAACACGCUGCACAUGGACGGCUCCUCUUUGUUUUUGAAGGGAUUCCAUCUCUAUUUUGCCAUGUGCUCCUUCACCCCACUCCCCACCCCCGUCUUUCAUUUCUUUCUCUGGAAAAGAUACUUCAACUCACAGGACUGCGAUGUUGAAACGGACACCCAAGAGCAUCACAGAUGGGCCAGGCCUGGACCUCUCGGGACAACAUUCCUCACGACUUUUAGAUAGAAGAGAUUAGAGAUUUGGGACUGGUGGCAACUGGUAACGUUUUCAGUGUUUGGUAAACAGCCAGGGUCCGGAGCUCUGGGAACAGCCUGAUUUAGCUCUUUGUUUAAGUUUUGUGUUAGAGGCUCCCAAGAAGCUGAUGCAGGGGAAAGAAAUUAACAACCAUGGCUCAUUCACAGCCAGGCAGCCAAAUGGACAGCUCUAUAAGACUCAAGCCGACAGCGGAGAGAGUGCAACCAAACAGCCUUGGCCCAGCUUUCAGAGGAGAACGUUAUUCACCCCAACUGCUCUGCAUCUGCCUGGAUGUCUGCCAAGAUCUGUGAGCAUUACAGCGUUGGUAUGCUUUGGGUGAGGCCUGUGGCUAUGGCAACAAGUUGGGAGCAACCCGGUCCCUGGGAAUGAGAACAGUGUCUAAAAUCAGGCAGGCGAGGGGCAGGGAGGAGAGGUAAAGGUUGGACUUGCCUGAAGAUGGAGCCGUUUUAUUGUUGUGGGUAAAGCUGCUACCAUUAGGGGCUGUUUACAGAGUGGGUGCAGCUCAAGCUGGGAGCAUGUUAGACUCAGCGACUACGAUCAACCUAUUGACUUGUUCCCAUGAGACAGAGUAAAUUAACUGUUGCAGUACUGGUCAUGUACCACCAACCUCCUGUGAACCAGCCCUCAGUGAAACAUUUAUGUGAAAGGCCAUGGUGUUCCCAUAAGAGGGUGCAUGUUCUCUCCCUUGACUAACUCUUCAGUAUGCCUCAUUCUCACGCGCUGGUGUGCAGGAAGGAGUCCAACAUGCCCCAUUGACAGUCAUGCCCUGUAUGUGGAAAGUCUUCAGGUAGAGCACUGGGCUCAGGUUUGAAGAUGUGAGUUCUAAUCCUAGCAAGGCCAUUACCUCCCAGUGACCUCAUGUCUCGAUUUCCUCAACCACAAAACAAAGGCAUUGGUGAGCUGACCUCUAAGGCCUCUCCAGUUCUCACCUUCUGUGUCUCUACAGACUGGAGACUAGAAGAUUAUGGGCACUUUUAUUGAGUCUUCAUUUUGUUUCCAUUUCUUUGUAGUCAUCAGCUGGAGUUGAGGACAAGUUUUAACAAUAGAUAGGUUUCUUUUUGUCUCUUUUUAAAAAAUUUUAUUUAAAAUAAAUGCCAAGUGUAGUGGCUCAUACCUGUAAUCCCAGCACUUUGGGGAGGCCAAGGUGGGAGGAUUGCUUUUGAGUUUGAGACCAGCCUGGGCAACGUGGUGAGACCCUGUUUGUACAAAAAAUUUUAAAUUAGCCAGGCAUGGUGGCGUGUGCCUAUAGUCCUAGCUACUCUGGAGGUAGAGGCAGGAGGAUCCCUUGAACCUGGGAGGUUGAGGCCACAGUGAGCUGUGAUUGUGCUAUUGAACUCUAGCCUGGGCAACAGAGCAAGACCCUGUCUCUUAAAAAAGACUAUUUUUUAAGAACACUUUUAGGUUCACAGCGAAAUUUGGAGGAAACUUGGCAUAUGUCAUAUGCCCCCUGCUCCCAUGCAUGCACAGCCUCUACCAUUAGCAAUGUCCCCACUCAAAUGGUACCUUUGUUGUAAUCAACAACCCUGUACUGACACAUCAUCAUCACCCAAACUCCAUAGUUCACAUUAGGUUUCACUCUUGGUGUGGUGUACAUUCCAUGGGCUUGAACAACUGUAUAAUGACAUUAUCCACCACUGCAGGAUCAUACAGAGUAGUCUCACUGCCCUAAAACUACUCUGUGCUCCACCUGUUUGUCCCUUCUUUCACUCUAAACUCCUGGCAACAACUGACCUUUUUACUGCCUCGAUAGCUUUGCCUUCUUCGGAAUGUCAUGUAGUUGAAAUCAUACAUCAUGAAGCCUUUUCAGAUUGGCUUCAUAUAGGUUUCCUUCCUUCCUUCCUCCCACCACCUUCCUUUCUUUCUGUAUUCCUAACUCUUGGAUGUAUUUUCCCCAGCAUCAUGACUUGAUGGGACUUUUGCUAAGAUAGGCAAUCAUAGAAAGUCAUAAAUCUCUUGUCAGCCUUAUUGGCUCACCUCCGAGAUGGUUCCAACACUCUUUAAGGCCCACUUUUCCAAUCCACAGAUUCCCCAGCAGAAGUCCAAGCUGCUGAGCCUCACAUCAUCUUUUGCACUAGUAAUCUUUACCACUACUUCACUGUAGCAUUUGAAAAUUUUCAUAUGAAGCCAUAGUUCUGUGUCUUUUUUUUUUUUUUUUUUUUUUUGGAGACGGAGUCUUAACCUGUUGCCCAGGCUGGAGUGCAGUGGCACAGUCUUAGCUCACUGCAAGCUCCGCCUCACGGGUUCAAGUGAUUCUUGCCUCAGCCUCCCAAGUAGCUGGGAUUACAGGCGCGCCACCAUGCCCAGCUAAAUUUGUUGGCAUUUUUAGUAGAGAUGGGGUUUCACCAUGUUGGCCAGGCUGGUCUCAAACUCCUUACCUCAGGUGAUCUGCCUGCCUCAGCCUCCCAAAGUGCUGGGAUUAAAGGUGUGAGCCACCGCACCUGGCCUGAAGCCAUAGUUCUUAACCUCAGUUGUGCAAUAGAAUUAUCUGGGGAAUUUAAAAAUUAGAAAAAACCCAUGCCCUGAAGAUUGUGAUCUAACUGGUCUUGCGUAGCGCCUGGGCAUUGGUAUUUUUUAAAUGUUUCCCAACUGAUACUAAUGUGGCCAUUCUGCAAGCCACAGUUGAAAGGCUUAUUCAAGCAUCCUGUUGCUGAAUGCAUGUCGUCCUUACCACAUGACUCUGGAGGUUUUCUUGUAUUCUGAUGUGGCUGCCCUGUUGAGGCCUGCCCCUUAGAGUGGAGAUUAUCCCCUGCAGUAGGCUGCCUGGAAUAUGAUCCCCAGUGAUCCCUGCUUCCUGGUAUUCAGGCCCUGGUGUGAUCCCUUUCCCUUGAAGCCUGGGCUGGAUUAGUGACUUGCUUCUAACCAACAGCAUAUGGCA
Molecule: long non-coding RNA, 4549 nt
Filed under: Homo sapiens (human)
Lineage: Eukaryota; Metazoa; Chordata; Mammalia; Primates; Hominidae
Description: LHRI_LNC1138.18
Source: RNAcentral